This 2358-nucleotide long non-coding RNA is filed under the name Sus scrofa (pig). Its description in RNAcentral is "lncRNA (ENSSSCG00000043011.2)". The record is from RNAcentral. Lineage: Eukaryota; Metazoa; Chordata; Mammalia; Artiodactyla; Suidae.
GAAGCAAUCUGAAGGUACAGGAUGGCUUCACACUUGGCAGCGUGAAUUUCCAGCAGAGCAGGACAGUUCUACGCAUUUACUUGGCAAACAAAGAAGCAGGAGGCACUGUGUGGGGCUGAUUCCUCAAGAGGAAGGCAACAUCAUUGCACUGGAUAAUGAUGGCUCUGACCCUCCGAAUCUUUCACAAUCUGUCUACAUAUUUCUCUUAAGAACUGUUUCCCUCCCAACUGAAAUCUACUAAACCGCUCUCCGAUUUCCUUAAAAUGAAGACGGGUGUGGCCAUAGCCUCCUCCUGCUGACUCUGCAAAACCCCAACCAGGACUGAGGAGAGCAAGCAAGAGCCUGUGUUUCCAACAGGGUCCAGAUACCACAGUUAUGAAUCUUCCAGCACCCUUGAUCUUCACCCUGAACACUGACAUUUCACACGAUGUUCUUUUAAAUGUUCAAAAACACGGCUGGGGUACUUGAAAGAAUGUCAUACCUCCCCCUAAGAAAGUGUGACAUCAGAUAUGCUUUUGGCACAAUGUUAAAUGAAAACAAAAAAGCAAAAUAAUUAAAUUCUAAACUGCGAUGUAGCAAAGACAGCAUUGGCUUGGAAAUGAAAUGCACCUUGUAAGAAGAUUCGUCUUCAGUAGAAUUUUUCCUUCUUUUUUUUUUUUUUUGGUCGUUUGUCCUUUUAGGGCCACACCUGCGGCACAUAGAAGUUCCCAGGCUAGGGGUCCAGUUGGAGCUAUUGCUGCCAGCCACAGCAACACCAGGUCCAAGCCAUGUCGGCAACCCACACCAGAACUCACAGCAACGCCGGAUCCUCAACCCACUGAGCGAGACCAGGGAUCGAACCCGCAACCUCAUGGUCCCUAGUCGGAUUCAUUUUCAUGCACCAUGGCAGGAACUCCCUCAGUAGAAUUUUAAUUCUUCAUUUCAGUUGUAAAUUGGCAUUAUAUUGACUAUAUUGAAAAUGAAGGUCAUCCCAAGUUUUGUGUCACAUAUGAAAUCUAACUCAAACUUGACUUUUUUCAGAACUGCAUAAAGUGGAUCAUAAUUUUACCAUCCCAGAAAGCAUGAAGUUAAUGCAUUUGACAGGCUUCUUGUGCCAUCUGCAGUAAGGGGUACAUAUGCGUAAUUCCUUAAUUUAAAAAAUUACAAGUGAUAAUAGUACCUUGCUUAUUGAAGCACGUAAGUCCUCAAAUUUCUCCUCACAGAUGAUCAAACCCAGCACCGUGUAUGAUUACUCAAUACCAGCCCACAUCAAUCCCCACCACUGAAAAUCAACUGCAAGUAUUGUCCCGUUUCACAAAUAAAAAUAUCUGCCAAGAAGAUUUAGACAGACAUUUCUCUAUGGAAGCCAUACAGAUGGCCAAAAAAACACAUAAAAAGAUGCUCAGCAUCACUUAUUAUUAGAGACAUGCAAAUCACUACUAUGAGGUACCACAUUACACGAGCCAGAAUGGCCAUCAUCAAAAGGUCUACAAACAAUAAAUACUGGAGAGGGUGUGGAGAAUAGGGAACCCUCUUACACUGUUGGUGGGAAAUUGGCGAAACCACUAUGGAAAACUGUAUGGAGAUUGACAACCAUUAUGGAAAACUGUAUGGACAUUACUCAAAAAACUAAAAAUAGAAUUACCAUAUGAUCCAACAAGCCCACUACUGGGCAUAUAUCCAGAGAAAACCAAGACUUGAAAAGACACAUGUAAUUCAUUGUUCACUGCAGCACUAUUUGCAAUAGCCAAGACAUGGAAACAACCUAAAUGUCCAUCAACAGAGGAGUGGAUCAAGAAGACGUGGUAUAUAUACACAAUGGAAUAUUACUCAUCCAUUAAAAGGAACGAAAUACCAGCAUUUUUAGCAGCAUGGAUGGACCUAGAAAUUAUGCUAAGUGAAGUCAGUCAGACAAUGAGACACCAGCAUCAAAUGCUUUCACUGAAUGUGGAAUCUGAAAAAAGGACACAAUGAACUUCUUUGCAGAACAGAUGCUGACUCACAGACUUUGAAAAACUUAUGGUUUCCAAAGGAGACAGUUUUCGGGGUGGGAGGAUACACUGGGGGUGUGGGAUGGAAAUCCUAUAAAAUUGGAUUGUGAUGAUCAUUGUACAACUGUAAAUGUAAUAAAUUCAUUUAAUAACAAGAAGAUAUGGUACAUACAUAAAAUGGAUUAUUACUCAGCCAUAAAAAAGAAUGAAAUAAUGUUACUUGCGACAACAUGGAUGGACCUAGAAAUUAUCCUACUAAGUGAAGUUAGUCAGAUAGUGAGAGAUAAACAUCAAAAGGUAUCACCUACGUGUGGAAUUUAACAAAAGGAUCAAAUGAACUUAUUUGCAGAACAGCAACAGACUCACAGACUUUGAAAAACUUAUGGUU